GACGAACGCUGGCGGCGUGCUUAACACAUGCAAGUCGAACGGUAAGGCCCUUCGGGGUACACGAGUGGCGAACGGGUGAGUAACACGUGGGUGAUCUGCCCUGCACUUCGGGAUAAGCCUGGGAAACUGGGUCUAAUACCGGAUAGGACCACUGCCUGCAUGGGUGGUGGUGGAAAGCUUUUGCGGUGUGGGAUGGGCCCGCGGCCUAUCAGCUUGUUGGUGGGGUGAUGGCCUACCAAGGCGACGACGGGUAGCCGGCCUGAGAGGGUGACCGGCCACACUGGGACUGAGAUACGGCCCAGACUCCUACGGGAGGCAGCAGUGGGGAAUAUUGCACAAUGGGCGAAAGCCUGACGCAGCAACGCCGCGUGCGGGAUGACAGCCUUCGUGGUUGUAAACCGCUUUCAGCAGGGACGAAAAUGACGGUACCUGCAGAAGAAGCUCCGGCUAACUACGUGCCAGCCGCCGCGGUAA
This 474-nucleotide ribosomal RNA is filed under the name uncultured bacterium. RNAcentral describes it as "partial 16S ribosomal RNA". It matches the Rfam family "Bacterial small subunit ribosomal RNA", at positions 28 to 523 of the family's 1533-position model. The record is from RNAcentral.